UGCGUAGGUGGCAAGCGUUGUCCGGAAUUAUUGGGCGUAAAGCGCGCGCAGGCGGUCCUUUAAGUCUGAUGUGAAAGCCCACGGCUCAACCGUGGAGGGUCAUUGGAAACUGGGGGACUUGAGUACAGAAGAGAAGAGUGGAAUUCCACGUGUAGCGGUGAAAUGCGUAGAGAUGUGGAGGAACACCAGUGGCGAAGGCGACUCUUUGGUCUGUAACUGACGCUGAGGCGCGAAAGCGUGGGGAGCAAACAGG
This 253-nucleotide ribosomal RNA is filed under the name uncultured bacterium. Its description in RNAcentral is "partial 16S ribosomal RNA". It matches the Rfam family "Bacterial small subunit ribosomal RNA", at positions 524 to 776 of the family's 1533-position model. The record is from RNAcentral.